GACGAACGCUGGCGGCGUGCUUAACACAUGCAAGUCGAACGGAAAGGCCCUGCUUUUGUGGGGUGCUCGAGUGGCGAACGGGUGAGUAACACGUGAGUAACCUGCCCUUGACUUUGGGAUAACUUCAGGAAACUGGGGCUAAUACCGGAUAGGGGCUCCUGCUGCAUGGUGGGGGUUGGAAAGUUUCGGCGGUUGGGGAUGGACUCGCGGCUUAUCAGCUUGUUGGUGGGGUAGUGGCUUACCAAGGCUUUGACGGGUAGCCGGCCUGAGAGAGUGACCGGCCACAUUGGGACUGAGAUACGGCCCAGACUCCUACGGGAGGCAGCAGUGGGGAAUAUUGCACAAUGGGCGGAAGCCUGAUGCAGCAACGCCGCGUGCGGGAUGACGGCCUUCGGGUUGUAAACCGCUUUCGCCUGUGACGAAGCGUGAGUGACGGUAAUGGGUAAAGAAGCACCGGCUAACUACGUG
RNAcentral lists this ribosomal RNA (468 nucleotides) under uncultured bacterium. RNAcentral describes it as "partial 16S ribosomal RNA". It matches the Rfam family "Bacterial small subunit ribosomal RNA", at positions 28 to 507 of the family's 1533-position model. The record is from RNAcentral.